Lepidothrix coronata (blue-crowned manakin) is the source of this 896-nucleotide long non-coding RNA. RefSeq lists it as uncharacterized. NCBI's taxonomy places the organism in Eukaryota, Metazoa, Chordata, Aves, Passeriformes, Pipridae. The transcript has 3 exons. The record is from RefSeq and is a predicted model, not a curated record.
CGAUCCCGGCGGGAUCGGGAGCGGUUUCCCGCCGCAGGCUCCAGCAUGGCGGGGCCUGGCGUGGCCCCUGCCAUUCCUGCAGCGCUGCUAGAGUAUCCCGGGGCCGUUUGAGGCCUCUCCCGGCGCUUCCCGGGGGCGGUUAUGGAACCCCCGGACACCCCCAGGGCCCGGGAGGGAUCUGGUGGGGGGGACACGGGGGGAGCCCUGAAACCCCCAGGCAGGGCCGGGGACAUUCCUGCCCUUUCCCAUUCCAGGCUCCCGCUCUGGGGAUCCAGCCCCGUCGAGGAAGCCAUCGGGAAGGAGGAGGUGGAUUCAGAGGACCUAUCACCGAAACUGGCCUUCUUGUGGUUAAUUAAUGCUACCUAAUUAACGCUACCGAGGGCUCAGCCCCUCCUGUGGGGGGGGACCCGGGACCCAGCCCUGUCCCUCCAUCCCGGCGGGAUUUCUCCGGAGUCACCACGUGUCCAGGCUCCUGCUCCAGCGAUCCAGAAGGAUUUAGGAAGGCCCAGGAAGUGGGUGCAGUGCUUCUGUCACCGUAAUUAACCCAGCUGUAGUUAAUUAAAGCUGGAAUCCCCCAGGAAUGCUGCUCUGGGACACUUCCCAUCCCCGUGGGAUCCAUCUGGUGUCACCCCCUGUCCAGGGGAGGGUUGUCACCCUGUCACCUGCACCAGGCUUGGGCGGCUCAUCCCACCCUCCCUGUGCCAGCGCCCUCGUCCCCCAGGGAUUUAUCCUGCAGACGUGGAUGGAAGGAGCAGCUGGGGCAACGGGGCACUUUCCCCGUGGGAGAACGUGGAUCCAGCUGCACCAGAACCAGGGAAUUAAACGUGAAACCAUGAUUUUUCCAAUUUACAAUUGAGAGCCUUUGUCUCCUUCUGUUUUAGGUCCUGAUGUCCCUA